This 472-nucleotide ribosomal RNA is filed under the name uncultured Sphingobacteriales bacterium. Its description in RNAcentral is "bacterial SSU rRNA". It matches the Rfam family "Bacterial small subunit ribosomal RNA", at positions 910 to 1382 of the family's 1533-position model. Lineage: Bacteria; Pseudomonadati; Bacteroidota; Sphingobacteriia; Sphingobacteriales. The record is from RNAcentral.
UUGACGGGGCCCGGCACAAGCGGUGGAGCAUGUGGUUUAAUUCGAUGAUACGCGAGGAACCUUACCUGGGCUCGAACGUAAGAUGACUGUAGGUGAAAGCUUACAUCUCUUCGGAGCAUUUUACGAGGUGCUGCAUGGUUGUCGUCAGCUCGUGCCGUGAGGUGUCGGGUUAAGUCCCAUAACGAGCGCAACCCCUACCUUUAGUUGCCAUCAGGUUAAGCUGGGGACUCUAAAGGAACUGCCUACGCAAGUAGUGAGGAAGGCGGGGAUGACGUCAAAUCAGCACGGCCCUUACGUCCAGGGCUACACACGUGCUACAAUGGCCGAUACAGAGGGCAGCUACCUGGUGACAGGAUGCAAAUCUCCAAAGUCGGUCUCAGUUCGGAUCGGAGUCUGCAACCCGACUCCGUGAAGUUGGAUUCGCUAGUAAUCGCGCAUCAGCCAUGGCGCGGUGAAUACGUUCCCGGGCCUU